UACGUAGGGGGCAAGCGUUGUCCGGAAUCAUUGGGCGUAAAGAGCGUGUAGGCGGCCCGAUAAGUCCGACGUGAAAGUCCAGGGCUCAACCCUGGAAUGCCGGUGGAAACUGUCGGGCUGGAGUCCGGAAGAGGCGAGUGGAAUUCCUGGUGUAGCGGUGAAAUGCGCAGAUAUCAGGAGGAACACCAAUGGCGAAGGCAGCUCGCUGGGACGGUACUGACGCUGAGACGCGAAAGCGUGGGGAGCAAACAGG
This 253-nucleotide ribosomal RNA is filed under the name uncultured bacterium. RNAcentral's name for it is "partial 16S ribosomal RNA". It matches the Rfam family "Bacterial small subunit ribosomal RNA", at positions 524 to 776 of the family's 1533-position model. The record is from RNAcentral.